This 1048-nucleotide ribosomal RNA is filed under the name Tetragenococcus halophilus. RNAcentral's name for it is "partial 23S ribosomal RNA". It matches the Rfam family "Bacterial large subunit ribosomal RNA", at positions 1 to 1050 of the family's 2925-position model. The record is from RNAcentral. Lineage: Bacteria; Bacillati; Bacillota; Bacilli; Lactobacillales; Enterococcaceae.
AGGUUAAGUAAGAAAGGGCGCACGGCGGAUGCCUUGGCACUAGGAGCCGAUGAAGGACGGGACCAACACCGAUAUGCUCUGGGGAGCUGUAAGUAAGCUUGGAUCCAGAGAUUUCCGAAUGGGGAAACCUCGCAUUUUUCAUCGAAUGCGGCUUGAUCUGUGAAUACAUAGCAGGCAAGCGGAAGACGCAGUGAACUGAAACAUCUUAGUAGCUGCAGGAAGAAAAAGAAAAAUCGAUUCCCUGAGUAGCGGCGAGCGAAACGGGAAUAGCCCAAACCAGAAUGCUUGCAUUCUGGGGUUGUAGGACGUUUAUUCACGGACAGGACGGUUAGCCGAAGGCUUUGGGAUAAGCCGCCGGAGCGGGUAAGAGCCCCGUAGGCGAAAACUGUCAGGUUCGUAAACGGAUCCUGAGUACGACGGGACACGUGAAAUGCCGUCGGAAACCGGGAGGACCAUCUCCCAAGGCUAAAUACUCCCUAGUGACCGAUAGUGAACCAGUACCGUGAGGGAAAGGUGAAAAGCACCCCGGAAGGGGAGUGAAAGAGAUCCUGAAACCGUGUGCUUACAAGGAGUUAGAGCCCGUUAAUGGGUGAUAGCGUGCCUUUUGCAGAAUGAACCGGCGAGUUGCGCUGGCUGGCGAGGUUAAGUCUGAAAAGACGGAGCCGCAGCGAAAGCGAGUCUGAAAUGGGCGUUGAGUCAGACGGCGCAGACCCGAAACCAGGUGAUCUACCCAUGUCCAGGUUGAAGGUGCGGUAAAACGCACUGGAGGACCGAACCCACGUACGUUGAAAAGUGCGGGGAUGAGAUGUGGGUAGCGGAGAAAUUCCAAACGAACUUGGAGAUAGCUGGUUCUCUCCGAAAUAGCUUUAGGGCUAGCGUCAAGGAAGCAAUGAUGGAGGUAGAGCACUGUUUGGACGAGGGGCCCGUCUUGGGUUACCGAAUCCAGAUAAACUCCGAAUGCCAUUGAUUGACCCUUGGCAGUCAGACGGUGAGUGAUAAGAUCCAUCGUCGAAAGGGAAACAGCCCAGACCACCAGCUAAGGCCCCUA